RNAcentral lists this ribosomal RNA (497 nucleotides) under uncultured bacterium. RNAcentral describes it as "partial 16S ribosomal RNA". It matches the Rfam family "Bacterial small subunit ribosomal RNA", at positions 28 to 507 of the family's 1533-position model. The record is from RNAcentral.
GAUGAACGCUGGCGGCGUGCCUAAUACAUGCAAGUCGAACGAACGGACGAGGAGCUUGCUCCUUCGACGUUAGCGGCGGACGGGUGAGUAACACGUAGGUAACCUACCUAUCAGACUGGGAUCACUUCGGGAAACCGGCGCUAAUCCCGGAUAAUAUUUCGAUCCGCAUGGUUCGAUAGUGAAAGAUGGCUUUGCUGUCACUUAUCGCUGGACCUGCGCCGUAUUGGCUAGUUGGUAAGGUAAAGGCCUACCACGGCAAGCAUGCGUAGACGACGUGAGAGGGGGGUAGGCGACACGGGAACUGGGACAGGGUCAAGACUCCUAAGGGAGGGCGCAGAAGGGAAUGUUACGCAACGGGCGAGAGCAUGACGGAGCAAGGGGGCGUGAGUGAUGGAGGUGUCCGGAGCGGAAUAAUGUGUUAUGAGGGAAGAACAACUUUGUAAGGAGAUGUGGAGGGAUUGACGGUAACUAAUAAGAAAGCCACGGCUAACUACGUG